GGGCAGCACACCAAUGGAAUAGUUGUCAUGUGGUGUCCCUAAAAUUUGGGCACCAUUUUCCACCAACCAAACCACAACACCUCCCUUACCACCACAAUCAGACACCCACGAAACCCAUUCCCAUGCAAUAUCAUCUCCAUCUGAUAAGGGAGUCGCCCCCACGCGCCACCUGAAACUACCCCAGCCGGCUGCCCUUCCAAAUCCCCUAUUUCCUGCGUUUUAUUUUUUGCUACAUCUCAACCAUCACUGGAAUCCUUACCCCCUGUCCCCAGCCAGAAACCCAUCGCUGGAGGUCCAUCGCCGGCGGCUUACAUACUCCACGUGCCGGCCACACGCGAGGGGAAGUUGCUGGAAUUCCCCUGAUUUGCCCAGACUCGCGAGAUAUUGCUUCCUGCCUCGAGAGUUUGAACUGCUUCCUGAGAUUAUGAAGCUUUCUGAGGAGAAAUUGAGUUACCAAGCUUGGUUUGCAUUCCUAAGAUCGAAUACAGUCUAAUAUUGGGCUGCCCGAGCCAAUCUUAGACUUUUGAAGUGUGGUCAGCAUUCAGAUCGAGUUACAGCUACUGGUUGUUUCCUGAGAAUCAGAGAGUAGGCACUCGAGAAAUUGUUGGACUGACGUUGGAAUUCGAUGGUGCAGACUUAUCAGAAGGAAGCUCAUGGCCAUUUAUUACCUGACCGGGACUAGGCAUGGACUCAUGGUUGCUCGAAGUUAUCACCGGUUCCAACUCUCUUGGUGCCUCAGGAGCCCCUGAUAGGAGAGCGGGUAAAGCCCCACUGAUCUAGUACGGUUGAUCUGCCCUUCCAAAAGGAGUGCAGAGCAGCAGUGACUGACUGGCCGGACGAUUGGAUGCUGCAUAGCAGGUGACCAUUGCAGCCGAACGUUGUGAAGGAGGAACCGAAUGUUGGGAAGGAAGGUAUAUAAAGGUAUGUUUCUUUUGCUUAAGCUUAAAGGAGGAACCGAACGUUGUGAUAUUAUUUCAUUAAGACUCGUUAGUUUGAUUCAAAAAUUGUGUUAGUUUGUGGUAUAAACUAGUAUUUGAUACAUUCAAUUUGGUUGUAUUGAACCAAAUUUUGUGAUUGUAAGCAUCAUUUGGAAAACUCCGAUUUAAGGUUAGGGUUUAUUUUGUUUUCCAA
This is a long non-coding RNA of Malania oleifera, 1131 nucleotides long. RefSeq lists it as uncharacterized. The transcript is spliced from 4 exons. The record is from RefSeq and is a predicted model, not a curated record. NCBI's taxonomy places the organism in Eukaryota, Viridiplantae, Streptophyta, Magnoliopsida, Santalales, Ximeniaceae.